Molecule: long non-coding RNA, 1693 nt
Organism: Salvia splendens (bonfire salvia)
Lineage: Eukaryota; Viridiplantae; Streptophyta; Magnoliopsida; Lamiales; Lamiaceae
Exons: 2
Source: RefSeq, a predicted model, not a curated record
UGCAAAGAAAUUUACUUCAAGGAUAAAAGUAAAUGAAAUACUCUUACUAGAGAAAUACGGAACAUACAUGUGAGUAGUAAAGUACAAAACAAACUAUACAUUUGGAUGCAUGGAGCUACAAGUAAAAGUUCCUUUCAAGCAUGGGAAACCCUUCUCAAGAGGGGAAUGAAGUAAUAGCUAGUCCUACUCUAUUGGAAUUGUAGCAGCCAAAAACUUAGAUAAAAGUUAAGGUUGCUUUGGUCAAGGGAGCUACAGUAAGAGAUCUUCUUUCCUCCCUCUCCUCCUCUCCAUCUUUCUCAAAUUUGUGCCCCACAAGAUUCCAAAUGCGCAGCCAAAGUACCUACAAUAUUUACACCAAAAGGGGUAUUAGAUUUUGACACAUAAGUAAAGGGGAGGAGGCACAAGCCAAUUAAGAAGAGAGAUGUAAUAGGAAAGUAGAGCAGCCAAGAGGCUGCAGAUUUGGCAAUAAGAUCAACCCCAAAAUUGUCCCUUUCCAAGGCUGCAUGUUUGAGAAACUAAACCAAGCUGAGACAAGGUAAUAGAACUCAGCCACAAGCCAAAAAUUGAAGGAUAAAGUUUGCUUCAUCGAGACUCAAGGGAGCAGCCAAGGGAGGGAACCCUUUUCCCCCAAAACUUGCACCAACUUAGUAUGAAUGACAUAAACAUAGAGCCCAAAAGGAGGCCAAGUAUGCAGCCCCAAAAUAGCAUCACAACCUCCCAAAAAUCAGGCACAAGAUGCCAAUAGUUUGAGGGCUAUAUAAACAAGCCCCCUCACCACUCCCUCCUUCCCAGAUUUCGACAUUACCGCAAGAAGUGCAGUGAAUGGGAGGGAAGAGGAGCAAGGGCGGCAAGAGAUCAGUCCAUAACCGAGAAAGGCCACCAAGCAAGGUAAAUCGAUAAUACACCAUUUGCAUCAUGAUAGGCAGCCAAGUGCAUAGCUCCAAGAACAUAGAUUAUCACAAGGGAAAUCAUAGACAACUCAAGGACAUAGGGAACUAAAUUGCCACAAAGCCUUAGCAUACAUACUGCAGUAAUCGAGUUCAAACGCCAAGAAUCUCAAUAUCUCAUAGCUACUGCCCAGCUCACAAUAAAACCAAAGAGCAAGAUUAAACUGGAUCACAACUAGACAAAGUUCUUAAUCACCAAAAUAUUGCAUAACUCGACAUAAAUCGAGUAAGAAGGGAAAAGGGGGGGGGGGUGAAGAAUUAGCUUAGGAAGGGGACCAGUCCGGCGACGGCAGAAUCCCGGAAACUCGGCGGGGUAGCUACGGGUCGCGGCUGAAAGAGAGAGGGAGGCGACGCCUCCUCUCCACCGCCGACUUCGCCGAAAGGGGGGAGUACUCGCCGGAGGGAGCGAGCGCGAACUCCGGUGCAUGUUGUGGCUGCCUCGCGAAGGAGACAACGGCGAACGGUGCGGGACGACGACGGUAGGGGCUGCUGCUCACGGCGCGGGACGACGGCGGACUCCGAAAGUGCUGUCGAGGUGGCAGCGUUUUGCCGGAGAACAGAGAUAUCGAGAGAGAGAAGAAAUCGCCGAUGUGUUCUUCUCAUUUAGGGAUCUGAGAUUUAAUUGGAAAAUAGUGAACUAAAAGAGAGAGAUGCCCGAUUUGAGGGGGGGGGGUCGGACUCUCUCCGGGCAUGAAUUCACCGGAGAAGGUGAGAAAUGGAAAGGAGGCGAGAGGAAGAAGAAGACG